CACGUAGUUAGCCGUGGCUUUCUGGUUAGGUACCGUCAAGGUACCGGCAGUUACUCCGAUACUUGUUCUUCCCUAACAACAGAGCUUUACGACCCGAAGGCCUUCAUCGCUCACGCGGCGUUGCUCCGUCAGACUUUCGUCCAUUGCGGAAGAUUCCCUA
Molecule: ribosomal RNA, 160 nt
Filed under: uncultured bacterium
Lineage: Bacteria
Description: partial 16S ribosomal RNA
Source: RNAcentral